UUCCUACGGGGCGCAGCAGUGAGGAAUAUUGGUCAAUGGGCGCGAGCCUGAACCAGCCAAGUAGCGUGAAGGAUGACUGCCCUACGGGUUGUAAACUUCUUUUAUAAAGGAAUAAAGUGAGGCACGUGUGCCUUUUUGUAUGUACUUUAUGAAUAAGGAUCGGCUAACUCCGUGCCAGCAGCCGCGGUAAUACGGAGGAUCCGAGCGUUAUCCGGAUUUAUUGGGUUUAAAGGGUGCGUAGGCGGGAUGCCAAGUCAGCGGUAAAAAUGCGGUGCUCAACGCCGUUGAGCCGUUGAAACUGGCGU
RNAcentral lists this ribosomal RNA (305 nucleotides) under uncultured bacterium. RNAcentral describes it as "bacterial SSU rRNA". It matches the Rfam family "Bacterial small subunit ribosomal RNA", at positions 336 to 639 of the family's 1533-position model. The record is from RNAcentral.